This 1236-nucleotide long non-coding RNA is filed under the name Gallus gallus (chicken). Its description in RNAcentral is "lncRNA (ENSGALG00010022424.1)". The record is from RNAcentral. Lineage: Eukaryota; Metazoa; Chordata; Aves; Galliformes; Phasianidae.
GCCUCGUGGUGUGUGAGCACUGGGGCUUGAGUCCAGGCCAACACACGCUGAAAAAAGAAUGAGAGCUAAUCAGAGCGAUGCUCUCCAGCAGGCUUCUGUGCGCGGCGUUACAGUGAAAUCUGAAAUUCCUUUUGCUGCUCAUGCAUACAAAGCAGGAAGAGCGAGCACGGCUGCAGACUGUUUGUGCUUUCAGAUGGUUUUGCCAAGGAGAAAACAACAGGGUAGCGGGAAGAAAGCACACUUGCUCGGAAACACGUCUGGAGUGCAGCUCCCCAGGGCUCACCCUAGGGCAGGGCAGGGGCACAGAGAGCCCUGCAGCCAUCCCAGCAUACACCCACACCUCCUGCUGCACGGCGGGGUCAGCAGCCUGCAGAGGAACAUGCGGGACACGUCGUUCCUCCUGCCCUGCUCGGCAGCCCUGCUGCGCAGUGUCACAUGAAGCGAAGCACUGAUUAGAAAGUAUUCAUAGAAUGGCUUGGGUUGGAAGAGACCCUGAAGACCACCCAGUUCCGACCCCUGCGUGGGUUGGGCACCCUCUGCAGCUUAGGCUGCCCAGGCCCUACCAGCCUGGCCUUGGGUCCCUCCAGGGAUGGGGCAUUAGGUGGGUCCCUCUGGCUUGCUGCACACAGCCGUGGUGGCUGGGAACAAGCACCCAUCUGUUUUCUUUGUUUCCAAGUGACACUCAGUCCCCGAGAUUAUCUCCCCUUGACUGUGACAACGUGGAAGAAGGCAUUGGGAUCGACAAGCAGACAAGUGCUCCCGUGUUCCACAUCCAUCCAUCUGAUGCGGGCUCGUUGCAGGCGGAACCCCUCCCUGCGAUGUCUUACGUGCGUGGAGAGAGAGAGAGGCACUGGGGGCUGUGGUUAGGGCUGGGUGGCAUCGGGUGAGGCUGGGGAGGCGAGGAGAGGAGGUGAGCGAGAGGAGCGCUUUGGUGAGGCUGCACCCCCCUCUGCUGGAGAAACCCAGCAAGGACACAGGCAGGGAAAGGGGUGUGGAAAACCCCUUGGUGGGAUUGGAACGUAUGGAAUCACAGAGCCACGGAGUGAUGGAACGAUUUAGGCUGGAAGGGACCUUAAAGAUCACAGAAUGAGAGAAUGGUUGAGUUGGAAGGGACACCAAAGUCCCCCAGCCCCAAUCCCUGCCAUGGGCUGGGUGCCUCCCAUUUCAGGCUGCACGGAACCCCAUCCGUGGCCUCAGGCACCUACAGGGAUGGGGCAGCACAGCUCUGGGCAGCAC